GUAGGGGUGCAAGCGUUAUCCGGAUUUAUUGGGCGUAAAGAGUCUGUAGGCGUUUUAGUAAGUCACUUUUCAAAUACCAGGGCUCAACUUUGGAAAGGGAAGUGAUACUGCUAGAAUUGAGAAUUUGAGGGGCUACUGGAACUAUCGGUGUAGGGGUGAAAUCCGUUGAUAUCGAUAGGAACUCCAAGGGCGAAGGCGGGUAGCUGGCAAAUUUCUGACGCUGAGAGACGAAAGCUAGGGUAGCAAAAGGGAUUAGAGACCCCUGUAGUCCUAGCCGUAAACGAUGUCCGCUAGAUAGUGGUUAAUAUAUUUAUCACUGUCGCAAGCUAACGCGUUAAGCGGACCGCCUGGGGAGUACGAUCGCAAGAUUA
Molecule: ribosomal RNA, 371 nt
Filed under: uncultured organism
Description: partial 16S ribosomal RNA
Rfam family: Bacterial small subunit ribosomal RNA
Source: RNAcentral